AUGUUCAUCAAAUUGGACUUUAGCAAAGCCUUCGACUCCCUCUCUUGGGACUCUCUCGCCUCCAUAUAACGUUGUCGUGGCUUCCCGCCAAAAUUCUCAGCAUGGCUUCAUGACCUCCUAGCAACUGGAAAAACUGCCGUGAUGCUGAAUGGGAUCCCCGGAAGCUGGAUAAAUUGCAAAAAUGGCCUCAGGCAGGGUGACCCUAUAUCGCCCUACCUCUUCAUCAUCGUUGCUGAUCUCCUACAACAAAUGAUUCAACAAGACUGCGACCUAGCUCAUCUCAGUCACCCCCUGUUCGCGCAUCUCCCGCCCACUGUUUUACAAUACGCUGACGACACCCUCAUCAUCGCCAAGGCAUCUAGUGGCGCUCCUUAG
RNAcentral lists this ribosomal RNA (375 nucleotides) under Triticum aestivum (bread wheat). RNAcentral describes it as "partial small subunit ribosomal RNA". Lineage: Eukaryota; Viridiplantae; Streptophyta; Magnoliopsida; Poales; Poaceae. The record is from RNAcentral.